Long non-coding RNA from Electrophorus electricus (electric eel), 3292 nucleotides. The record is from Ensembl. Lineage: Eukaryota; Metazoa; Chordata; Actinopteri; Gymnotiformes; Gymnotidae.
UAGAAAUAGGAGCUGAUGUAUAUUCAGUUCAGUGAGUCUUCAGUCAAGUAUAAUGUUCCUAUUAACAUCUACUUUGCUGUUAAUUUCCACAGGUGUGUGUGAAUCUCACUACCAGCAAACGUUGACUUGCCCAUACAGUUCUAAGGAUAAAAGCCUUUACAGGGUGUGGUGCAAGAGAGACCCCAAAGACCACGACUGCUGCACCGGCUUCGCCUUCACCGCCAAGGAAAGAAACUUGGAAGAUGGGAAUAUCCGUGUGCAGGACGACGGCAACGCCUUCAGCAUCUCCGUGGCGAAAUUGUCAGAUGGUGACGGGGUGUAUUGGUGUGGACUCAAGAACGGUACCAACAUUGUUAAGCUGGCUGAGGGCCAACUCUACACCACCCCGCCAGCUUUUGCCUGGUACGUCCUUCGCUGGGUGAUCUUCUUCCUGCUGUUUGCGGCAGUGGUGGGGACUUCGGUGUAUUCCAACAGGAAAGACAGACAGGGAGAGAUUGACAAAGUAUAUGCAAGUGUGGUCAUGGAAGGCUGACUGAAGACUGUUCAAUAUAUGCAGGCACAACUGACAAUGAAGCACAAAUCAGCUCAGGAUUUUCUACAGAAUCAUUUAAAAAAAAAAAAAAAAAAACUUUUAAAGUCUAGUACUAAACUUCAUCUGUCUGGAAAAAAUGCGCCAAUAAGUGACUACAAAAAUUAUUGUAUUUUUUAGGUAAAUAUAAAGGAAUAAAUAUUUGCUCAUACAUUUGUCAGUGAGAUGAAAUUGUUUACACCACCUAGUGGAGAAAAUAUUGUAUUGUAUAAAAAUUUUGGUACAACCUUACACCAUCUGGUGGAGAAAGUAUUUUCUAGAAAGAGUAUGACUAGAUCUAGUAAGAUGGUCUAAUCAUAUCGCUUUUGUUAUUUUAUGUUUAGACUUUGAUCAGCAAAUCUUUGUUCAGUACCUUGUGUAACUGUACUUACCACAAGCAAUACUGGAUAAUAAAGAAAAACACAGACGAUCUGGAGGAAAAUCCUCGCUAUAUUUCUUUUUUUUCCUUUAUAUUUCUCACAGUUUAUGGUUGUUGGGGAGUGUGUGUGUUCCAAGACAAAAAAUACCUUUUGCUUUUAAAAGUGCUGAAGCCAUUAUCUUUUACAUGGGUGGGUUGUGUUCAUUAAUUGCUGUUAAGUAACUCAGAACUGAAUUUGAGAUGCAUACAGCAAUGCACUCUAAAUCUGAGCUCGUUACUGCAAUACAAAUAUGGAGUAGCACAUUUUUUUCUUAGCAGUCAUACACACUAUUCACAACAUAACCUAAAAGUGGCAAACAAUUUUAAAAGUACGAUUUAAAAAGAUUUACAGUUGAAGAGACGAGUUCAUUGCACUUAACGUUUGGUUUCAAGUGAAAGGUAAAUAAAAUAGCAAUAAUACCAAUAUUAAACACUACUAAUAAACAUAAAAGAUUUUGCAGCAAAUCUGCUAAACAUCUAACUGAAAAAGUGAAACUCACAAUGAUGCUAUACUGUGCUAACAAGGGAGUGAGGAAAGGAGUCGACCAAAGAUUAUCGUCUAUUGCAACCCAUUCAAUCGCAGCUGCAUGGUGAGGUUCUUUAUGACCUGUGUAGUUGGCAGGAGGUGCAGUAGUGCUUCAAAACUAGUAGAACUGUGUGUGUGUGUGUGUGCGUGCGUGUAACUACGUGUGCAGGGCAUGCAGUCUCAUAGCAUCCUCAAAAGACUGAAGAGCUAUUUAAGUUUCUUUUGAAUAUGCGGUAGCUAACAACCUGAGAACUACUCUGGACCUCCUGGAUUUCCAUAUUAGAUAUAUUUUACUAACCUAUGUUAAAUGUACAUGAGCAAGCAACAGAGAAACACAGGCCAACUCAGUUAUAACUCAAAAAAAGAUUUUCUGACUGAAGCUUGGAGUCAUUUCUGAACAAGAAAUACAACGUAAUUUACAAAGACCUAAUUUAUAACCUGCAGGACGUAUUAAGCGUUACAUCCCAAAAUAAGCCACUCAAGGAACCAAUAUGUUUACACAGGUGGUAUACAGCAUUUUACCUACGCAAUACACCAAAAUGAAAUGUACAGAAAAUAACCUGGAGUCAUGCACCAAGGUUUGAAGAAACACGCUCUUUACAUAAGGACAGUUUAUACAUCAAUGCACUUUAGAGCAAAGAACUGUGGUUUGUUUUGGGAGUGACUAUGAAAAGAUGACAUAAAUGAAGCAAAAUGUUAAAAAAAAAAAAGGGUGGGGGAGUAGGGGUUGAGAGGAUAAGGUAGAUAAUCCAGCAGGCAGGUAGCCGGUCAAUUUCAGGAAGUUGUUCCAUGCAGGACGCAGCAGUGGUCAGUAUCUUCACUUAUUGCAGUUGGAGUGCUGGGAAAAAUCUGCCCUCUGUGGUGUAAAAGUGAAGCGAACUAACAUUUCCUGUGUUUCCAACAAUAAUAUUCUCUGUCUCUCUCUGUCUCCCUCUCUCUCACACACACACACACAAUCACACACACAAUCAUUACAAGCCGAGUACUGCGCUGCUAUGAAACGCCUUUGUUUGCCAGGGGCAUGCUGAGGCGAAGAGCACAGAUACACACUGCGUGGCCUUCUGAUCCCGCGUAGUCCUCUAAAGCUCCUCGUAGUCUCCCUCCUCCCUGGGGACAGACCCUUCCCCUCCGGCCAGGAAGGCCUCCAGGUCGUCCAGCUCCCCUGCCUUCUUGCUCCGGGACUUUUUCUUCUUCUUCUCCUUCUCCUCAGCAGCUCCCGUCACCUCCUCUCGCUCCUUUUUCUUGUGUUUGUGCUUCUUUUUGCUACUUUUCUCUUCAUCCUGGAGGAGAGUUAAUGAUGCUCCUUAUACACAGCAGGGCAGAACGUGGGGAUGGGACCCUUUCACUUAGAAUUUGAUUGUUAGAUUGACUCUGGUCAUAGGUGCUAUAACCACUAGCCUUUACUGUUAUACUAUGGUACAACUGCAUUGAGUACAAAACAUAAAACAAGAGAAACCCAUUACUGACUGGUACUGAUACAAACAACAACAAAAACAACAACAACAAAUUCCCUCCACAUGCAUUGCCAAGGGAUAGACAAUAAAGAUACUAGAACCUACUGCACAUAGUAGUCUGAGGCCUUAAAACAGGAAAAUGACUGUACUAAUAACCAAACCAGAGAUCACAGAAGCACGUUCUGAUUCUGAACAAGUGCACAGAAAGGUUUCACUUAUUUUACCUCUUUAGUCUUCUUUUUCUUUUUCUUCUUUUCCUUCGCUCCAUGCCUGCUUUCUUUCUCUGCAAAGAGACAGAGCUAGCUCACUUUCCAGCUCAUGAAACG